UUUAAGUUAAUAGUGUACUGGUUAUAACUAAUAUCAAAUCUUUACUAAUACUUGAUUUCUUUUUAUGAUGGUUGACUUUGCGAGAACUAACGGAGCAUUAGUGUCAAGAAUGGGCUGAGAUUCGAAUUCAGUCGGUUUUUCGCUCUUUUUUGACAAAAAGGGAUCAAGAUCGGGACCGUCCAUUUGACUUCACACGGAUCACCAUCUGCUUUCUCUCUCAAUGCUCACACAUCUGACAAAAAGGGAUGCCAAAAGCAGGGAAGUACAAUCUACAGGAAAAAGCAACACUUUACUUUUGUGUGAAAGACAGCUUGCUUGCUGCAGUCUCUAUAAUAUAUCAACACUCUUCCAUACACUGUUUGAAAGACAGCACUGCUUCCUUCAGUCUCUAUAAAUAAUCCAGAGAUAUCUACACUCUACUCACACUUUACAAACUCUCAACUACACUCAACUGAAAUUAAUAUAUCAACUCUUUGCAUUCGGAUCUUGCGUUGUUUCUCGGCUCUCACAUCAAGGUUUUAAAAUUUUUGUCGGCUUUUCACAUCUCCCUCUUGCAUUGUUGUAAGUUCUUUCAAAUAUGACAUAGUGAAAGGAUAAAUUGUUUUUGUAGUUUUGAUUUUACUUUGUUCUGUUAUAUUUUGAUCUUUUCCUUCA
Molecule: long non-coding RNA, 654 nt
Organism: Helianthus annuus (common sunflower)
Lineage: Eukaryota; Viridiplantae; Streptophyta; Magnoliopsida; Asterales; Asteraceae
Exons: 3
Source: RefSeq, a predicted model, not a curated record